ACAGAUUGCGAGCUCUUUCUUGAUUCUGUGGGCGGUGGUGCAUGGCCAUACUUACGUGCGACCCCUGAUCGGUCGGCGGAUUGAACUUCUUAAAGGAACUAGCGGCGUUUAGCCGCACGAGAUUGAGCAAUAACAGGUCUGUGAUGCCCUUAGAUGUUCGGGGCCGCACGCGCGCUACACUGACCGGAUCAGCGUGUCUUUCCCUGGGCCGAAAGGUCCGGGUAAUCCGCUGAACCCCGGUCGUGCUUGGGAUAGAGAGUUGCAAUUGUCGCUCUUGAACGAGGAAUUCCCAGUAAGCGCGAGUCAUCAGCUCGCGUUGAUUACGUCCCUGCCCUUUGUAAAGGAAUGUCUAGUAAAUUUGGGUCAUUAAUAUUGUUUGAAUGCGUCCCUGCCCUUUGUAAAA
RNAcentral lists this ribosomal RNA (403 nucleotides) under Doliolida sp.48_UnivF-1183. Its description in RNAcentral is "partial 18S ribosomal RNA". The stretch from base 1 to 340 matches the Rfam family "Eukaryotic small subunit ribosomal RNA", at positions 1243 to 1664 of the family's 1831-position model. Lineage: Eukaryota; Metazoa; Chordata; Thaliacea; Doliolida. The record is from RNAcentral.